This 115-nucleotide ribosomal RNA is filed under the name Desulfobulbaceae bacterium. The record is from RNAcentral. Lineage: Bacteria; Pseudomonadati; Thermodesulfobacteriota; Desulfobulbia; Desulfobulbales; Desulfobulbaceae.
UUCGGUGGCUAUGGCGAGAGGGACCCACCCGUUCCCAUUCCGAACACGGAAGUUAAGCCUCUCAGCGGCGAUGGUACUAAGGAGUUGACCUUGGGAGAGUAGCACGUUGCCGAAU